CCUAUACUGCAGUCGAGCGGAAGAAGGGAGCUUGCUCCCGGAUGUUAGCGGCGGACGGGUGAGUAACACGUGGGUAACCUGCCUGUAAGACUGGGAUAACUCCGGGAAACCGGAGCUAAUACCGGAUAGUUCCUUGAACCGCAUGGUUCAAGGAUGAAAGACGGUUUCGGCUGUCACUUACAGAUGGACCCGCGGCGCAUUAGCUAGUUGGUGAGGUAACGGCUCACCAAGGCGACGAUGCGUAGCCGACCUGAGAGGGUGAUCGGCCACACUGGGACUGAGACACGGCCCAGACUCCUACGGGAGGCAGCAGUAGGGAAUCUUCCGCAAUGGACGAAAGUCUGACGGAGCAACGCCGCGUGAGUGAUGAAGGUUUUCGGAUCGUAAAGCUCUGUUGUUAGGGAAGAACAAGUGCAAGAGUAACUGCUUGCACCUUGACGGUACCUAACCAGAAAGCCACGGCUAACUACGUGCCAGUAGUCCCGGUCAUACGUAGGUGGCAAGCGUUGCCCCGAAUUAUUGGUCCCACAGGGUUC
This 536-nucleotide ribosomal RNA is filed under the name Bacillus sp. (in: firmicutes). RNAcentral describes it as "bacterial SSU rRNA". It matches the Rfam family "Bacterial small subunit ribosomal RNA", at positions 48 to 570 of the family's 1533-position model. Lineage: Bacteria; Bacillati; Bacillota; Bacilli; Caryophanales; Bacillaceae. The record is from RNAcentral.